GCCGGGUGUGGUGGCUCACGCCUGUAAUCCCAGCACUUUGGGAGGCCGAGGCGGGUGGAUCACCUGAGGUCAGGAGUUCAAGACCAGCCUGGCCAACAUGGUGAAACCCCAUCUCUA
Molecule: non-coding RNA, 117 nt
Filed under: Pan paniscus (pygmy chimpanzee)
Lineage: Eukaryota; Metazoa; Chordata; Mammalia; Primates; Hominidae
Also listed under: 1 other name
Source: Rfam by way of RNAcentral